RNAcentral lists this ribosomal RNA (486 nucleotides) under uncultured bacterium. RNAcentral's name for it is "partial 16S ribosomal RNA". It matches the Rfam family "Bacterial small subunit ribosomal RNA", at positions 30 to 507 of the family's 1533-position model. The record is from RNAcentral.
AUUGAACGCUGGCGGCAUGUCUUACACAUGCAAGUCGAACGGCAGCACGGGUGCUUGCACCUGGUGGCGAGUGGCGAACGGGUGAGUAAUACAUCGGAACAUGUCCUGUAGUGGGGGAUAGCCCGGCGAAAGCCGGAUUAAUACCGCAUACGAUCUACGGAUGAAAGCGGGGGACCUUCGGGCCUCGCGCUAUAGGGUUGGCCGAUGGCUGAUUAGCUAGUUGGUGGGGUAAAGGCCUACCAAGGCGACGAUCAGUAGAUGGUCUGAGAGGACGACCAGCCACACUGGGACUGAGACACGGCCCAGACUCCUACGGGAGGCAGCAGUGGGGAAUUUUGGACAAUGGGCGAAAGCCUGAUCCAGCAAUGCCGCGUGUGUGAAGAAGGCCUUCGGGUUGUAAAGCACUUUUGUCCGGAAAGAAAUCCUUGGCUCUAAUACAGUCGGGGGAUGACGGUACCGGAAGAAUAAGCACCGGCUAACUACGUG